RNAcentral lists this ribosomal RNA (720 nucleotides) under Triticum aestivum (bread wheat). RNAcentral's name for it is "partial small subunit ribosomal RNA". Lineage: Eukaryota; Viridiplantae; Streptophyta; Magnoliopsida; Poales; Poaceae. The record is from RNAcentral.
AUGUCAGUUUCGUUAUUACAACCUUAUUUUUUUAUGAAGACAAAAAGCUACGCGCAAAUUCUCAUUGGAUCUCGGUUGUUCUUAACAGUGAUGGCUUUUCAUUUAAGUCUUCAGGUAGCACCACCAGAUCUUCAACAAGGUGGAAAUUCUCGUAUUUCGUAUGUACAUGUUCCUGCGGCUCGGAUGAGUAUAGUUAUUUAUAUCGCGAUAGCUAUAAACAGUUCCUUGUUCCCAUUAACAAAACAUCCCCUUUUUCUUCGCUCUUCCGGAACCGGUACAGAAAUUGGUGCUUUUUCUACUUUGUUUACGUUAGUGACUGGGGGGUUUCAGGGAAGGCCUAUGUGGGGUACCUUUCGGGUGUGGGAUGCUCGUUUAACUUCUGUAUUCAUCUUGUUCCUUAUUUACCUGGGUGCACUGCGUUUUCAAAAGCUUCCUGUCGAACCGGCUCCUAUUUCAAUCCGUGCUGGACCGAUCGAUAUACCAAUAAUAAAGUCUCCAGUCAACUGGUGGAAUACAUCGCAUCAACCUGGGAGCAUUAGCCGAUCUGGUACAUCAAUACAUGUUCCUAUGCCCAUUCCAAUCUUGUCUAACUUUGCUAACUUCCCCUUCUCUACCCGUAUCUUGUGCGUUCUGGAAACACGUUUUCCUAUUCCAUCUUUUCCCGAAUCUCCCUUAACGGAAGAUAUAGAAGCUCGAGAAGGAAUACCACUAAAAACCUAG